Molecule: ribosomal RNA, 733 nt
Filed under: uncultured fungus
Lineage: Eukaryota; Fungi
Description: eukaryotic LSU rRNA
Rfam family: 5.8S ribosomal RNA (bases 228-382)
Source: RNAcentral
AGUAAAAGUCGUAACAAGGUUUCCGUAGGUGGACCUGCGGAAGGAUCAUUAUCGAAUUAUAAGCAAAGGUUGUUGCUGGCCUCUCGGGGCAUGUGCACGCCUGAGCUCUUAAUCCACUUACACCUGUGAACUCAAUGUGGGACGUCUCUCGGGACGAUUCUCAUGUCUUUAUUAUACACCCUGCAUGUCAUAGAAUGUCAUAUGUUGCUUUAACGCAAUUUAAAUACAACUUUCAACAACGGAUCUCUUGGCUCUCGCAUCGAUGAAGAACGCAGCGAAAUGCGAUAAGUAAUGUGAAUUGCAGAUUUUCAGUGAAUCAUCGAAUCUUUGAACGCACCUUGCGCUCCUUGGUAUUCCGAGGAGCAUGCCUGUUUGAGUGUCAUUAAAUUCUCAACCUCACCGAUUUGUUUCGAGUGAGGCUUGGAUUUGGAGUGUGCUGGUCCUUCCCUGGGUCGGCUCCUCUUUAAAUGCAUCAGCGGAGUCUUCUUUGACUUCCGGUAUCAGUGUGAUAAUCAUGUUGCGCUGUUGGCCGAGGUCUUAGUCCGCUUACAAUGGUCUUCGGACAACUUAUCAAAUUUUGACCUCAAAUCAGGUAGGAUUACCCGCUGAACUUAAGCAUAUCAAUAAGCGGAGGAGAAGAAACUAACAAGGAUUCCCCUAGUAACUGCGAGUGAAGCGGGGAAAGCUCAAAUUUAAAAUCUGGCGGUCUCCGGCCGUCCGAGUUGUAAUCUGG